Molecule: ribosomal RNA, 333 nt
Filed under: uncultured bacterium
Lineage: Bacteria
Description: bacterial SSU rRNA
Rfam family: Bacterial small subunit ribosomal RNA
Source: RNAcentral
AUUGAACGCUGGCGGCAUGCCUUACACAUGCAAGUCGAACGGCAGCGGACCUUCGGGUGCCGGCGAGUGGCGAACGGGUGAGUAAUGCAUCGGAACGUGCCAUUGAGUGGGGGGAUAACGUAGCGAAAGUUGCGCUAAUACCGCAUAUUCUGUGAGCAGGAAAGCAGGGGACCGCAAGGCCUUGCGCUCUUUGAGCGGCCGAUGUCAGAUUAGCUAGUUGGUGAGGUAACGGCUUACCAAGGCGACGAUCUGUAGCGGGUCUGAGAGGAUGAUCCGCCACACUGGAACUGAGACACGGUCCAGACUCCUACGGGAGGCAGCAGUGGGGAAUAC